The submitters of this non-coding RNA (34 nucleotides) gave its source as unclassified sequences. The record is from Rfam.
AAUUAUCGAAGGAUAUAGACCUGAAUUCAUAAUU